Molecule: ribosomal RNA, 497 nt
Filed under: uncultured bacterium
Lineage: Bacteria
Description: partial 16S ribosomal RNA
Rfam family: Bacterial small subunit ribosomal RNA
Source: RNAcentral
GAUGAACGCUGGCGGCGUGCCUAAUACAUGCAAGUCGAGCGAACGGACGAGAAGCUUGCUUCUCUGAUGUUAGCGGCGGACGGGUGAGUAACACGUGGAUAACCUACCUAUAAUACUGGGAUAACUUCGGGAAACCGGAGCUAAUACCGGAUAAUAUUUUGAACCGCAUGGUUCAAAAGUGAAAGACGGUCUUGCUGUCACUUAUAGAUGGAUCCGCGCUGCAUUAGCUAGUUGGUAAGGUAACGGCUUACCAAGGCAACGAUGCAUAGCCGACCUGAGAGGGUGAUCGGCCACGCUGGAACUGAGACACGGUCCAGACUCCUACGGGAGGCAGCAGUAGGGAAUCUUCCGCAAUGGGCGAAAGCCUGACGGAGCAACGCCGCGUGAGUGAUGAAGGUCUUCGGAUCGUAAAACUCUGUUAUUAGGGAAGAACAUAUGUGUAAGUAACUGUGCACAUCUUGACGGUACCUAAUCAGAAAGCCACGGCUAACUACGUG